UACGAAGGGGGCUAGCGUUGCUCGGAAUUACUGGGCGUAAAGCGCGCGUAGGCGGUUUGUUAAGUGGGAUGUGAAAUCCCCGGGCUUAACCUGGGAAUUGCAUUUCAAACUGGCCGACUAGAGUACGGUAGAGGGAGGUAGAAUUUCCUGUGUAGCGGUGAAAUGCGUAGAUAUAGGAAGGAAUACCAGUGGCGAAGGCGGCCUCCUGGAUCGAUACUGACGCUGAGGCGCGAAAGCGUGGGGAGCAAACAGG
RNAcentral lists this ribosomal RNA (253 nucleotides) under uncultured bacterium. RNAcentral's name for it is "partial 16S ribosomal RNA". It matches the Rfam family "Bacterial small subunit ribosomal RNA", at positions 524 to 776 of the family's 1533-position model. The record is from RNAcentral.